GCACAAGCAGUGGAGUAUGUGGUUUAAUUCGAAGCAACGCGAAGAACCUUACCAGGUCUUGACAUCCGAUGCAUAGCACAGAGAUGUGUGAAAUCCUUCGGGACAUCGAGACAGGUGGUGCACGGUUGUCGUCAGCUCGUGUCGUGAGAUGUUGGGUUAAGUCCCGCAACGAGCGCAACCCUUAUUGCCAGUUACUACGUUAAGAGGACUCUGGCGAGACUGCCGUUGACAAAA
This 234-nucleotide ribosomal RNA is filed under the name uncultured bacterium. Its description in RNAcentral is "partial 16S ribosomal RNA". It matches the Rfam family "Bacterial small subunit ribosomal RNA", at positions 923 to 1163 of the family's 1533-position model. The record is from RNAcentral.